GGGGAAUAUUGCACAAUGGGCGCAAGCCUGAUGCAGCGACGCCGCGUGGGGGAUGAAGGCCUUCGGGUUGUAAACUCCUUUCAACCAUGACGAAGCGUGAGUGACGGUAGUGGUAGAAGAAGCACCGGCUAACUACGUGCCAGCAGCCGCGGUAAUACGUAGGGUGCGAGCGUUGUCCGGAAUUACUGGGCGUAAAGAGCUCGUAGGUGGUUUGUCGCGUCGUCUGUGAAAUUCCGGGGCUUAACUCCGGGCGUGCAGGCGAUACGGGCAUAACUUGAGUGCUGUAGGGGAGACUGGAAUUCCUGGUGUAGCGGUGAAAUGCGCAGAUAUCAGGAGGAACACCGAUGGCGAAGGCAGGUCUCUGGGCAGUAACUGACGCUGAGGAGCGAAAGCAUGGGUAGCGAAC
Molecule: ribosomal RNA, 406 nt
Filed under: uncultured bacterium
Lineage: Bacteria
Description: bacterial SSU rRNA
Rfam family: Bacterial small subunit ribosomal RNA
Source: RNAcentral